RNAcentral lists this transfer RNA (75 nucleotides) under bacterium. Its description in RNAcentral is "tRNA-Gln". It matches the Rfam family "tRNA". From Rfam's summary of the family: Transfer RNA (tRNA) molecules are approximately 80 nucleotides in length. Their secondary structure includes four short double-helical elements and three loops (D, anti-codon, and T loops). The record is from RNAcentral. RNAcentral also lists the same sequence under 5 other names.
UGGGAUGUCGCCAAGUGGUAAGGCACCGGGUUUUGGUCCCGGCAUUCGGGGGUUCGAAUCCCUCCAUCCCAGCCA